AAUUUUUAAUAUAUACUGAUAGCAAUAAGUUGAUCAUCUUCGGAACAGCUCAAAUGCUGAGAUUAGCAGAGAGAGCUGAUAAUAUAUAUAUAGAUGGAACAUUUUAUUCUGCUCCUAGUUUCUAUUAUCAGCUCUAUGUGAUUCAUGUAUUGUAUGACAAGGUAAUGAUACCUAUUGUAUAUGCUCUUUUGCCAAACAAAAAUAAAGAGACAUAUACAAAGGUAUUAAGAGUCCUUAUAAAAUAUUGUGGUGAUAACAAUAUUUGGUUUAGUCCAUCAUUGGCCCAGACAGAUUUUGAAAAUGCAGCCAUUUCUGCUCUUAAGGAUGUAUUUCCGACAAUGGCAAUAAAAGGUUGUUAUUUUCAUUUUUCAUAAGCUUUAUGGCGAAAAUGCCAAACAUUGGGAUUAUCAUCAUCGUACAUGGGGCAUUCGGAUGUACAUAAAGUAGUCCGAAGAAUGAGCACACUCCCAUUCUGUAGGGAAGAACAUGUGGCAAUAGUACGUGAUGCUUGCUAUCAAAUGGCUGCUAACAAUAGUUUGUUACUAAGUUUUAUGCAAUAUAUGGAUACAACUUGGCUCGGAGUUAGACCACUAUUUCCUUAUAAAAUAUGGUCAAGGUAUAGAGUACUGGGUCCCCGCACAAAUAAUCAUUUAAAGGGAUUUCAUCAUGCCCUGAACCGAAAAAUAUCCUAUGCUCAUCCUAAUAUUUAUACAUUAAUAAAAAUUUUAAUAAACUAUCAAAACAGUAAUGAUCUAAAACUUAUUCAAAUAAAUAAUGGAUCAACGGUUAAUCGCAUUAAUUACUCUUACGAGAUAAAAGAUCGUAUGAUCUCAAAUUUAACAGAUAUUUAUGAAGAAAGCGAAGAUGUUAUUACAUUUUUGGACGAGGUUACCAAAAUCAUUAAAUUAAAAUCUUAAUUUUUUAUUUUAUUUAUAAACAUUUUCACAGUUAUUAUCGUUCCUUUACAAAUAUGUAUUUCCCAAUUUAUCCAAUUAAAUAUUUUUUAUUACAAUUACAUGAAAUUUAAAUAAUUAAUCAAAAUCUAUGCAUAUAAUUUUAAUGUAAAUAUUCCGUUCGCUUUUAUUUUACAGGUAUAUUUUUUAUAUGAUUUUUUAAAUAAAUUAUUUAUUUUGUUAUAUUACAUUAUAUAUAAACGCUAUAUUUCUAUUGGCAUAAUUUUAUAUAUAUUUAAUUUAAUAUGAAUUAUGUCUAUUCGAUUUUUAUAUUUUAUGAUCGCAUAUUAUAUCAUGAUUGGGUUUAUUAAUAUUAUAUAUUAUU
This is a long non-coding RNA of Gordionus sp. m RMFG-2023, 1278 nucleotides long. RefSeq lists it as uncharacterized. NCBI's taxonomy places the organism in Eukaryota, Metazoa, Nematomorpha, Gordioida, Chordodea, Parachordodidae. The transcript has 3 exons. The record is from RefSeq and is a predicted model, not a curated record.